CGGUUUGAAUAAAUAUAAUUUUCAAAUCAAUACUUUACUUAGCAAAGUCUCAGUGUGGAAAUCAUUUGUAUAUCUGAACGCAAGGUAUUAAAACGUUAUAAAAGCGAUCAACAAGAUGAAUUAUCUAUGCGUCUUGGUAAUUUUGAUGCUUCUCAUGCAAUUUACCGUCAACUGUAAAGAUUUAAAGUUGCGACCGCAAACCGCGAAGGAUUUUAAAGGAAGACCCAGGCGCCUCUAAUAUAUAUAUGUUUAUACGUGCAGAUAUUUGUUAUAAAUUGGUUAAUUAAACAAAUAUGUUCUUUGUGAACAAUUUUAUUGUUAUUCUGAUACUUUCUUAUCUUCGAAUGUAGUCUAAAAUUUAAAAGAAGCCCUAAGGUUUUUUAGUUUAUAACAAUCAAAAAACUUGUAAAAACAAAGAUUUUAAUAAAACGCACAGUUCAUUAUUUAUUAAUAAUUAAUGGUAGUCGAAUGUGUCCAGUA
Molecule: long non-coding RNA, 480 nt
Organism: Drosophila virilis
Lineage: Eukaryota; Metazoa; Arthropoda; Insecta; Diptera; Drosophilidae
Source: RefSeq, a predicted model, not a curated record